Molecule: long non-coding RNA, 870 nt
Filed under: Homo sapiens (human)
Lineage: Eukaryota; Metazoa; Chordata; Mammalia; Primates; Hominidae
Description: HSALNT0312615
Source: RNAcentral
GUGGCUCAAGUUGGGAGGCGUUACCUGCGGAGGGUUUGAGGCACGCCCAGGAGCGAGCCCACGGUCGGCCGACGCGGGGCCAGGGGCGGGCCCCAGGAUCCGGAGCUUCGGGCGGGGCCGAGUCUGGGUUUGGGGCCCGGGAGGCGGGGCCAGUUAGGGCGAGGGUCCCUGGGAUCGUCGGGUCAGGCCUUGGGCUAACGUAGACACUCUCGCAGUACCUCCGCCUUCAGGAAGGUCUUUUUAGCAGGGGCCUUACAGGUGCACGCUUCGGUCCUGGAGGCCUUAUCCUAACCUCUCCAUCAGCGCCACCCGUCUGGGGCCCGAAAGGAGGGAGCUUUCCCUCUGUCCUCCAGCCUUUGGACUGUCUCCAAACAAGCCAUUCGUUCACCAAAUACUUAUUAAGCACCUACCAUGUGCCUGACAAGGGAGAUGUAACGUCCCUCUAUCCUGAGAUGGAGUCACCUGAGGAUCCACAGCAAGUCCUAACCAGGGAUGGGUCUGGGUGAUUAAGGAAGGUUGGCUUCAGAACUGGGCCAGGGGCACUGCUUUGCUUUUGCUGUUUUGAUCAGCUCUCUGCCUGCAGGAGACAAGGAAAACCAAUGGGAACAGCCCAGUAAAGGCUCCAUUCCCCAUUUUACAGCUGGGGAAACUGAGUUACAGAGCUUUUCUGCACUGAGUCAUCAGGAGCAAAUGCUAGAUCAGAUAGGGUCUCUCUCUCUGCCACCCAGGCCAGAGUGCAGUUGACGCAGGGCAGGGGAGCCCCGAAGUGGAGCAUAGUGUGUCCGGAACUGGUGGGUUCUUGGUCUCACUGACUUCAAGAAUGAAGCCGUGGACCCUCACGGUUCAAGCGAUUCUCCUGCCUCAGCCUCC